This 70-nucleotide transfer RNA is filed under the name Ictidomys tridecemlineatus (thirteen-lined ground squirrel). RNAcentral's name for it is "Spermophilus tridecemlineatus (thirteen-lined ground squirrel) tRNA". It matches the Rfam family "tRNA". Rfam says of the family: Transfer RNA (tRNA) molecules are approximately 80 nucleotides in length. The record is from Rfam by way of RNAcentral. Lineage: Eukaryota; Metazoa; Chordata; Mammalia; Rodentia; Sciuridae.
GGGGAUAUAGCUAAGGUAGAGUGCUUGCCUAGUAUGCAUGAGGCCCUGGGUUUGAUCUCCAAUAUUUCUA